GAGGAUAUAGCUCAGUGGUAGAGUGUGUGCUUAGCAUGCACGGGGUCCUGGGUUAAAAACUCUAGUACCUCU
This 72-nucleotide transfer RNA is filed under the name Camelus bactrianus (Bactrian camel). It matches the Rfam family "tRNA". From Rfam's summary of the family: Transfer RNA (tRNA) molecules are approximately 80 nucleotides in length. Lineage: Eukaryota; Metazoa; Chordata; Mammalia; Artiodactyla; Camelidae. RNAcentral also lists the same sequence under 2 other names. The record is from Rfam by way of RNAcentral.